GUAGGGGGCGAGCGUUAUCCGGAUUCACUGGGCGUAAAGGGCACGCAGGCGGUUACGUAAGUCCGGCGUGAAAUCCCACGGCUCAACUGUGGAACUGCGUCGGAUACUGCGUUGACUUGAGGAUGGUAGAGGCCAUUAGAACUAGCGGUGUAGCGGUGAAAUGCGCAGAUAUCGCUAGGAAUGCCGGUGGCGAAGGCGGAUGGCUGGGCCACUCCUGACGCUGAGGCGCGAAAGCUAGGGGAGCGAACCGGAUUAGAUACCCGGGUAGUCCUAGCCGUAAACGGUGGGUGCUAGGUGUGGGGGUCGCAAGACUUCCGUGCCGCAGCUAACGCAUUAAGCACCCCGCCUGGGGAGUCCGGCCGCAAGGCUA
Molecule: ribosomal RNA, 370 nt
Filed under: uncultured bacterium
Lineage: Bacteria
Description: bacterial SSU rRNA
Rfam family: Bacterial small subunit ribosomal RNA
Source: RNAcentral